CACGCCGUAAACGAUGGAUACUAGCUGUUGGGAGCAAUCUCAGUGGCUAAGCGAAAGUGAUAAGUAUCCCACCUGGGGAGUACGUUCGCAAGAAUGAAACUCAAAGGAAUUGACGGGGGCCCGCACAAGCGGUGGAGCAUGUGGUUUAAUUCGAUGAUACGCGAGGAACCUUACCAAGGCUUAAAUGUAGAUUGACCGUUUUGGAAACAGAACUUUCGCAAGACAAGUUACAAGGUGC
RNAcentral lists this ribosomal RNA (238 nucleotides) under uncultured bacterium. RNAcentral's name for it is "partial 16S ribosomal RNA". It matches the Rfam family "Bacterial small subunit ribosomal RNA", at positions 796 to 1041 of the family's 1533-position model. The record is from RNAcentral.